CUACUGUCAACGAGUGCAAGUAAGAUCUGCGACGAAAUGAAGAGCGGCAGCCAGUAUAUCUUUGGCGCGAAGCUAUACUGCAUUGCGCAAAAAGUAAUACACUGUCGAUUGUUAUUUGGGCGUGAAGAAAAGUGGUUCAACUACAGUAAGCUCGUGGACUAUGUUUUCUGAUGAAUAUGUCAGGGAAAAAAGAUGAUUAUACAAAGAAGUUUAUUGAUGGAUAUACAAAGGUGGCAGAAAAAUGUGUUAUGUGUUGCGUGUCGCUGUUUGCAACUACUAUUACUCCAGAGGAGAUGGAGUGCAUUAAACAAUGCAUAAGACAGGAAAUGAAGAUCAUGUGGCAGUUGUAAAAGCAAUAGAUUACCAAAAGCCAUCAAGUAAAACUGUUCUUGAUGCUGAGAGACCUAUAAGUGAACUGACAUGGAAUUUAUGUUAAAACGAAUUCUCUAAAAUAAAUAUUUAUUAAUAAAAAUGAUUGAUUAGGUGA
Long non-coding RNA from Schistocerca gregaria, 487 nucleotides. RefSeq lists it as uncharacterized. Lineage: Eukaryota; Metazoa; Arthropoda; Insecta; Orthoptera; Acrididae. The transcript has 4 exons. The record is from RefSeq and is a predicted model, not a curated record.